UACGAAGGGGGCUAGCGUUGUUCGGAUUUACUGGGCGUAAAGCGCACGUAGGCGGAUUGUUAAGUCAGGGGUGAAAUCCUGGAGCUCAACUCCAGAACUGCCUUUGAUACUGGCAAUCUAGAGUCCGGAAGAGGUGAGUGGAACUCCUAGUGUAGAGGUGGAAUUCGUAGAUAUUAGGAAGAAUACCAGUGGCGAAGGCGGCUCACUGGUCCGGUACUGACGCUGAGGUGCGAAAGCGUGGGGAGCAAACAGG
RNAcentral lists this ribosomal RNA (253 nucleotides) under uncultured bacterium. RNAcentral's name for it is "partial 16S ribosomal RNA". It matches the Rfam family "Bacterial small subunit ribosomal RNA", at positions 524 to 776 of the family's 1533-position model. The record is from RNAcentral.